UACGUACAUAUGCAAUGGUAUUGCCUAAUAUUGCGAGUAAUACAAUCUUGUCGUAAUCUGCGAGACUUUAUAAAAGUACUUACUUAGUUGUGUGCAAUUUCAGAUAGGCACGAGUAAAUGUAUUUAAAUGUUUACAAGUAUAUUGGGAGUACUCGUGUGGAUGAUGCGAACAAAAGUAAUAAGAAAUCGGACGUGAUGAAAAUUUGAUUUUAACUGAAGAUAAAUGAAAGAUAGUUGUUUAGUACGUGGCGGAUAUUUUUUUACUAUGGCUAACAGUCUAGCAAAAGUCUUCGCUAUCGAAGAUUUUAAUCCUGAAAAAUUUGUGAAAGAACUUAGCGCUCAAUGUGUUGGAGCAGAUGAAUUAAGGCAACAAAGAGCUAAAAUUCAAGAUUUAGCAAAUAAUACUUCUGCACAAUUAAAGCGUAAUGUUUAUCAGAAUUAUAUGCAGUUUAUAGAAACUGCUAAGGAAAUUUCACAUUUGGAAAGUGAAAUGUAUCAGUUGUCUCAACUACUCAGUGAACAACGUUCGUUAUUAAGUACUCUAGGAUCCACUAGGACUACUGGUGUUACUUUUGAAGAUUUAUCUGAAUCCCAGUUAGAAGAUGUUAACGAUUCCACUGUCAAAGAAGAAGAACAUAAACAAAAAUUGGUACAAUUACUUGAAAAUGUAGAAGGUGCUAUGAGUUUAGCAGAAACACCUGGGCGCAUAUGUUUACAUGAAGGUUCUCUACUGGAAUUAGAUCCAUUGGAAGGAACACCACUAAAAAGAGUUCAUGCAUAUUUAUUUAAUGAUAUUUUAAUGAUUGCUUCUUGGUUAGCAAAUGGUAGUAGAAGAGGACCACCAAAAUAUAAAAUGCAAGCUGUUUAUAAUCUUGAAAGUUUGGCAAUUGUUAAUGUUAGAGAUCUUGGAACGGUCAAAUUGGCAUUCAAACUUUUGGCAUUUUCUGAUACAAGAGUAUUCCAGUGUGCGACUGCAACAAGUAAAAAAGAAUGGUUAGAUAAAUGCGAACAAGCAAAGAGAAUGAAGUUGAUUGAAGAUAAUCCAAAUGAAGCAUCUGAAAAUGAUAAACGAUCAAAAGAGGAAAAGACAGUACCUUCUAGAUCUAUGUCACUCGAUUCUAAUACCCUCGGUGUAGAUGAUGAAGAUACAGAAUAUCAUGAACCUCCACCAGAAUGGAUGCUAGAAGUGGCAGAAGAUCUAGAUUCUUGUAUAGCGCAACGUCACUUUGAAGAAGCUUAUAGUCUUUUGGAGAAAGCAAAAGACUACUUAAAAGAUGCACAAAUGACACCACUUUUGUUUGAAAUUCAAUCAAAAGUAAAUGAUAGAGGGAGAUCAUUGGUCGAUGUUUUAACAAAAGAACUUGAAUUAAGCGCGGAAGCGAAAUCAUUGCAAGGUGGAGGUUUGAGAAGUGCGCGGCGCGUGGUCAAAUUAUUGAUACAAUUAAGCAGAAGUGCUCAGGCCUGCCAGCUAUAUCUGCGGCUAUGUAGUGCUGUGUUAAAGGCACGUUUAAAACGAGUUAAAGGCGAAGGAGCUACCGCACCCUACGUAAAGCAGCUUAGCGCAAUUGCUUUUAGUAAUAUCGUUGAGAUUACGAAAGAAUUCUUAAAAAUUUUUGCCCAUUCGACAAAUUGUACGUCUGGUCUGGUUGUUUGGUGUAGUCAGGAAGUAAAAUACUUAACAACACAUUUAACUAAACAGCUUUUUAUUCCACAAGUGUCUUUAAACACGUUAGUAGAAUGUAUAGUUUGUGUUCGAAAUCACUGCGAUCAGUUAACGCAGUUAGGAAUGGAUUUUCGUUAUCAAUUAGAUGGUCAGCUCAGAACCCCAUUAGCAAAAGCUAUACAAGAUACAGGCGAGAAAUAUGUUGAGAUUGUAAAAAAGCAUAUAGCCGAAGACAUGUGGCGGCCGACUAAUUUGGAAACUUGCAAAAAUGUUAAAAAAUUGCUAUCAGAAUUUGAUGGCCUUGGAAUAACCGUUCCACAAUCUUAUUUAAAAAAUGACUAUUGGAUAGCAUUGACUAAUAAUACUUUAACUUUUUCAAGAAUUUAUGUAAGUUUAUUAGAAGAUUGCCUCAGUGUUGCUACACCAGAAUUAAUGGCUAUAAUAGACACGGUUUUAAUAUCGGUGAUGCGAACUCAAGUACAACACAUAAUAGUAUCGCUUACGAACCCUAAAUUAAAACAGGAGAAACAAUUGGUGCAUAAUAAUGCGUCGUAUAUUCGAGAUGUCGUAAUCAUGCGAGGACUAGAAUUAUACAAAUCGACGACAAAUCAAAUUUUUAAGAAAUUGUUGGCUCUAAAGGAACAAAUCGUAUUCGAUACAUCAUCUCCUACUAAACCAAAAUCUAUUCCUAAAACUGCAAUACCUAAAUAUUCUGCCACAGAAUAUAUUUAAUUACGAAGAAAAAUAUAAGUGUAUACAUAGAAGUGUAGGAAAUAAUUUACAAAGAAAAUAAUAGACAGUGUACAUAAAAUAAUACUCAUACAUAAAAUGAGCAAAAUUAUGUGAGUUAUAAUCAGGAAAGUGCAAA
Molecule: RNA transcript, 2531 nt
Organism: Bombus pascuorum
Lineage: Eukaryota; Metazoa; Arthropoda; Insecta; Hymenoptera; Apidae
Gene: Exo84
Gene name: exocyst complex component 8
Exons: 9
Source: RefSeq, a predicted model, not a curated record